UUAAGUUUGAUCCUGGCUCAGGAUGAACGCUAGCUACAGGCUUAACACAUGCAAGUCGAGGGGCAGCAUGGUCUUAGCUUGCUAAGGCCGAUGGCGACCGGCGCACGGGUGAGUAACACGUAUCCAACCUGCCGUCUACUCUUGGACAGCCUUCUGAAAGGAAGAUUAAUACAAGAUGGCAUCAUGAGCCCGCAUGUUCACAUGAUUAAAGGUAUUCCGGUAGACGAUGGGGAUGCGUUCCAUUAGAUAGUAGGCGGGGUAACGGCCCACCUAGUCUUCGAUGGAUAGGGGUUCUGAGAGGAAGGUCCCCCACAUUGGAACUGAGACACGGUCCAAACUCCUACGGGAGGCAGCAGUGAGGAAUAUUGGUCAAUGGGCGAGAGCCUGAACCAGCCAAGUAGCGUGAAGGAUGACUGCCCUAUGGGUUGUAAACUUCUUUUAUAAAGGAAUAAAGUCGGGUAUGGAUACCCGUUUGCAUGUACUUUAUGAAUAAGGAUCGGCUAACUCCGUGCCAGCAGCCGCGGUAAUACGGAGGAUCCGAGCGUUAUCCGGAUUUAUUGGGUUUAAAGGGAGCGUAGAUGGAUGUUUAAGUCAGUUGUGAAAGUUUGCGGCUCAACCGUAAAAUUGCAGUUGAUACUGGAUAUCUUGAGUGCAGUUGAGGCAGGCGGAAUUCGUGGUGUAGCGGUGAAAUGCUUAGAUAUCACGAAGAACUCCGAUUGCGAAGGCAGCCUGCUAAGCUGCAACUGACAUUGAGGCUCGAAAGUGUGGGUAUCAAACAGGAUUAGAUACCCUGGUAGUCCACACGGUAAACGAUGAAUACUCGCUGUUUGCGAUAUACUGCAAGCGGCCAAGCGAAAGCGUUAAGUAUUCCACCUGGGGAGUACGCCGGCAACGGUGAAACUCAAAGGAAUUGACGGGGGCCCGCACAAGCGGAGGAACAUGUGGUUUAAUUCGAUGAUACGCGAGGAACCUUACCCGGGCUUAAAUUGCAGAUGAAUUACGGUGAAAGCCGUAAGCCGCAAGGCAUCUGUGAAGGUGCUGCAUGGUUGUCGUCAGCUCGUGCCGUGAGGUGUCGGCUUAAGUGCCAUAACGAGCGCAACCCUUGUUGUCAGUUACUAACAGGUUCUGCUGAGGACUCUGACAAGACUGCCAUCGUAAGAUGUGAGGAAGGUGGGGAUGACGUCAAAUCAGCACGGCCCUUACGUCCGGGGCUACACACGUGUUACAAUGGGGGGUACAGAGGGCCGCUACCACGCGAGUGGAUGCCAAUCCCAAAAACCUCUCUCAGUUCGGACUGGAGUCUGCAACCCGACUCCACGAAGCUGGAUUCGCUAGUAAUCGCGCAUCAGCCACGGCGCGGUGAAUACGUUCCCGGGCCUUGUACACACCGCCCGUCAAGCCAUGGGAGCCGGGGGUACCUGAAGUGCGUAACCGCGAGGAGCGCCCUAGGGUAAAACUGGUGACUGGGGCUAAGUCGUAACAAGGUAGCCG
RNAcentral lists this ribosomal RNA (1491 nucleotides) under uncultured bacterium. RNAcentral's name for it is "bacterial SSU rRNA". It matches the Rfam family "Bacterial small subunit ribosomal RNA". The record is from RNAcentral.